Long non-coding RNA from Neopelma chrysocephalum (saffron-crested tyrant-manakin), 229 nucleotides. RefSeq lists it as uncharacterized. Lineage: Eukaryota; Metazoa; Chordata; Aves; Passeriformes; Pipridae. The record is from RefSeq and is a predicted model, not a curated record. The transcript is spliced from 3 exons.
UUGUCGACAGAAGAGCGAAUGUGUCUUUUGCAGCGUGAGUGACUCCUCUUAACAUCAUGGAAGUCAGCCCUGUGGAGACAGAACAAUGGUCACUUUUGUUGAUGCCAGCCACCCCCAGUAGGCAGACUCCUUGUGGAAUAGAAGAGAAAUUACUGUUAUGAUAAUGCAGUCUAAUCUACAGAACAGACUGAGAAACCUAUUGUUGGAACAGCUAUACAAGAUUCCUAGA